GACGAACGCUGGCGGCGUGCUUAACACAUGCAAGUCGAACGGAAAGGCCCUGCUUUUGUGGGGUGCUCGAGUGGCGAACGGGUGAGUAACACGUGAGUAACCUGCCCUUGACUUUGGGAUAACUUCAGGAAACUGGGGCUAAUACCGGAUAGGAGCUCCUGCUGCAUGGUGGGGGUUGGAAAGUUUCGGCGGUUGGGGAUGGACUCGCGGCUUAUCAGCUUGUUGGUGGGGUAGUGGCUUACCAAGGCUUUGACGGGUAGCCGGCCUGAGAGGGGGACCGGCCACAUUGGGACUGAGAUACGGCCCAGACUCCUACGGGAGGAAGCAGUGGGGAAUAUUGCACAAUGGGCGGAAGCCUGAUGCAGCAACGCCGCGUGCGGGAUGACGGCCUUCGGGUUGUAACCCGCUUUCGCCUGUGACGAAGCGUGAGUGACGGUAGUGGGUAAAGAAGCACCGGCUAACUACGUG
Molecule: ribosomal RNA, 468 nt
Filed under: uncultured bacterium
Lineage: Bacteria
Description: partial 16S ribosomal RNA
Rfam family: Bacterial small subunit ribosomal RNA
Source: RNAcentral